UGGGGAAUCUUAGACAAUGGGGGCAACCCUGAUCUAGCCAUGCCGCGUGAGUGAUGAAGGCCUUAGGGUUGUAAAGCUCUUUCAGCUGGGAAGAUAAUGACGGUACCAGCAGAAGAAGCCCCGGCUAACUCCGUGCCAGCAGCCGCGGUAAUACGGAGGGGGCUAGCGUUGUUCGGAAUUACUGGGCGUAAAGCGCACGUAGGCGGACUGGAAAGUUGGAGGUGAAAUCCUGGGGCUCAACCCCAGAACUGCCUUCAAAACUAUCAGUCUGGAGUUCGAGAGAGGUGAGUGGAAUUCCGAGUGUAGAGGUGAAAUUCGUAGAUAUUCGGAGGAACACCAGUGGCGAAGGCGGCUCACUGGCUCGAUACUGACGCUGAGGUGCGAAAGCGUGGGGAGCAAACAGG
This 404-nucleotide ribosomal RNA is filed under the name Actinomycetes bacterium. Its description in RNAcentral is "Actinobacteria bacterium partial 16S ribosomal RNA". It matches the Rfam family "Bacterial small subunit ribosomal RNA", at positions 355 to 776 of the family's 1533-position model. Lineage: Bacteria; Bacillati; Actinomycetota; Actinomycetes. The record is from RNAcentral. RNAcentral also lists the same sequence under 2 other names.